Molecule: ribosomal RNA, 449 nt
Filed under: uncultured bacterium
Lineage: Bacteria
Description: partial 16S ribosomal RNA
Rfam family: Bacterial small subunit ribosomal RNA
Source: RNAcentral
GUGGGGAAUCUUCCGCAAUGGACGAAAGUCUGACGGAGCAACGCCGCGUGAGUGAAGAAGGUUUUCGGAUCGUAAAGCUCUUUCGUUAGGGACGAACGUGCUCUUUGUGAAUAAUGAGGAGUAAUGACGGUACCUAAAUAAGAAGCCACGGCUAACUACGUGCCAGCAGCCGCGGUAAUACGUAGGUGGCAAGCGUUGUCCGGAAUUAUUGGGCGUAAAGCGCGCGCAGGCGGGAUAUCAAGUCUGUCUUAAAAGUGCGAGGCUCAACCUCGUGAGGGGACAGAAACUGGUAGUCUUGAGUGGCGGAGAGGAAAGUGGAAUUCCAAGUGUAGCGGUGAAAUGCGUAGAGAUUUGGAAGAACACCAGUGGCGAAGGCGACUUUCUGGACGAUGUCUGACGCUGAGGCGCGAAAGCUAGGGGAGCGAACGGGAUUAGAAACCCCUGUAGUC